Unclassified non-coding RNA from Macaca fascicularis (crab-eating macaque), 148 nucleotides. It matches the Rfam family "Metazoan signal recognition particle RNA". Rfam says of the family: The signal recognition particle (SRP) is a universally conserved ribonucleoprotein. It is involved in the co-translational targeting of proteins to membranes. NCBI's taxonomy places the organism in Eukaryota, Metazoa, Chordata, Mammalia, Primates, Cercopithecidae. The record is from Ensembl.
GCUGGGUGUGGUGGAGCACCCCUGUAAUCCCAGCUACUUGGGAGGCUGAGGUGGGAGAAUUGCUUGAACCCAGGAGGCAGAGGCUGCAGUGAGCUGAGAUGGCACCACUGCAUUCCAGCCUGGGCUACAGAGCAAGACCCUAUCUCAA